ACUCGAGUGGCGAACGGGUGAGUAACACGUGGGUGAUCUGCCCUGCACUUCGGGAUAAGCCUGGGAAACUGGGUCUAAUACCGGAUAGAGCCAUUUUAGUGUGAUGGUUGGAAAGUUUUUCGGUGUAGGAUGAGCUCGCGGCCUAUCAGCUUGUUGGUGGGGUAAUGGCCUACCAAGGCGGCGACGGGUAGCCGGCCUGAGAGGGUGGACGGCCACAUUGGGACUGAGAUACGGCCCAG
This 239-nucleotide ribosomal RNA is filed under the name uncultured Actinomycetales bacterium. RNAcentral's name for it is "partial 16S ribosomal RNA". It matches the Rfam family "Bacterial small subunit ribosomal RNA", at positions 89 to 334 of the family's 1533-position model. The record is from RNAcentral. Lineage: Bacteria; Bacillati; Actinomycetota; Actinomycetes; Actinomycetales.